This 683-nucleotide ribosomal RNA is filed under the name Klebsiella pneumoniae. RNAcentral describes it as "partial 23S ribosomal RNA". The record is from RNAcentral. Lineage: Bacteria; Pseudomonadati; Pseudomonadota; Gammaproteobacteria; Enterobacterales; Enterobacteriaceae.
GGUUAAGCGACUAAGCGUACACGGUGGAUGCCCUGGCAGUCAGAGGCGAUGAAGGACGUGCUAAUCUGCGAAAAGCGUCGGUAAGGUGAUAUGAACCGUUAYARCCGGCGAUGUCCGAAUGGGGAAACCCAGUGCAAUUCGUUGCACUAUCGUUAACUGAAUACAUAGGUUAACGAGGCGAACCGGGGGAACUGAAACAUCUAAGUACCCCGAGGAAAAGAAAUCAACCGAGAUUCCCCCAGUAGCGGCGAGCGAACGGGGAGCAGCCCAGAGUCUGAAUCAGCUUGUGUGUUAGUGGAACGGUCUGGAAAGUCCGACGGUACAGGGUGAUAGUCCCGUACACCAAAAUGCACAGGYUGUGAACUCGAAGAGUAGGGCGGGACACGUGGUAUCCUGUCUGAAUAUGGGGGGACCAUCCUCCAAGGCUAAAUACUCCUGACUGACCGAUAGUGAACCAGUACCGUGAGGGAAAGGCGAAAAGAACCCCGGCGAGGGGAGUGAAAAAGAACCUGAAACCGUGUACGUACAAGCAGUGGGAGCACCUUCGGGUGUGACUGCGUACCUUUUGUAUAAUGGGUCAGCGACUUAUAUUCUGUAGCAAGGUUAACCGUAUAGGGGAGCCGCAGGGAAACCGAGUCUUAACAUAGGGGAGCCGCAGGGAAACCGAGUCUUAACUGGGCGUU